Molecule: ribosomal RNA, 1442 nt
Filed under: Salmonella enterica
Lineage: Bacteria; Pseudomonadati; Pseudomonadota; Gammaproteobacteria; Enterobacterales; Enterobacteriaceae
Description: bacterial SSU rRNA
Rfam family: Bacterial small subunit ribosomal RNA
Source: RNAcentral
AUUGAACGCUGGCGGCAGGCCUAACACAUGCAAGUCGAACGGUAACAGGAAGCAGCUUGCUGCUUUGCUGACGAGUGGCGGACGGGUGAGUAAUGUCUGGGAAACUGCCUGAUGGAGGGGGAUAACUACUGGAAACGGUGGCUAAUACCGCAUAACGUCGCAAGACCAAAGAGGGGGACCUUCGGGCCUCUUGCCAUCAGAUGUGCCCAGAUGGGAUUAGCUAGUUGGUGAGGUAACGGCUCACCAAGGCGACGAUCCCUAGCUGGUCUGAGAGGAUGACCAGCCACACUGGAACUGAGACACGGUCCAGACUCCUACGGGAGGCAGCAGUGGGGAAUAUUGCACAAUGGGCGCAAGCCUGAUGCAGCCAUGCCGCGUGUAUGAAGAAGGCCUUCGGGUUGUAAAGUACUUUCAGCGGGGAGGAAGGUGUUGUGGUUAAUAACCGCAGCAAUUGACGUUACCCGCAGAAGAAGCACCGGCUAACUCCGUGCCAGCAGCCGCGGUAAUACGGAGGGUGCAAGCGUUAAUCGGAAUUACUGGGCGUAAAGCGCACGCAGGCGGUCUGUCAAGUCGGAUGUGAAAUCCCCGGGCUCAACCUGGGAACUGCAUUCGAAACUGGCAGGCUUGAGUCUUGUAGAGGGGGGUAGAAUUCCAGGUGUAGCGGUGAAAUGCGUAGAGAUCUGGAGGAAUACCGGUGGCGAAGGCGGCCCCCUGGACAAAGACUGACGCUCAGGUGCGAAAGCGUGGGGAGCAAACAGGAUUAGAUACCCUGGUAGUCCACGCCGUAAACGAUGUCUACUUGGAGGUUGUGCCCUUGAGGCGUGGCUUCCGGAGCUAACGCGUUAAGUAGACCGCCUGGGGAGUACGGCCGCAAGGUUAAAACUCAAAUGAAUUGACGGGGGCCCGCACAAGCGGUGGAGCAUGUGGUUUAAUUCGAUGCAACGCGAAGAACCUUACCUGGUCUUGACAUCCACGGAAGUUUYCAGAGAUGAGAAUGUGCCUUCGGGAACCGUGAGACAGGUGCUGCAUGGCUGUCGUCAGCUCGUGUUGUGAAAUGUUGGGUUAAGUCCCGCAACGAGCGCAACCCUUAUCCUUUGUUGCCAGCGGUCCGGCCGGGAACUCAAAGGAGACUGCCAGUGAUAAACUGGAGGAAGGUGGGGAUGACGUCAAGUCAUCAUGGCCCUUACGACCAGGGCUACACACGUGCUACAAUGGCGCAUACAAAGAGAAGCGACCUCGCGAGAGCAAGCGGACCUCAUAAAGUGCGUCGUAGUCCGGAUUGGAGUCUGCAACUCGACUCCAUGAAGUCGGAAUCGCUAGUAAUCGUGGAUCAGAAUGCCACGGUGAAUACGUUCCCGGGCCUUGUACACACCGCCCGUCACACCAUGGGAGUGGGUUGCAAAAGAAGUAGGUAGCUUAACCUUCGGGAGGGCGCUUACCGC